RNAcentral lists this ribosomal RNA (502 nucleotides) under Metoligotoma rileyi. RNAcentral describes it as "partial 16S ribosomal RNA". It matches the Rfam family "Bacterial large subunit ribosomal RNA", at positions 1831 to 2600 of the family's 2925-position model. The record is from RNAcentral. Lineage: Eukaryota; Metazoa; Arthropoda; Insecta; Embioptera; Australembiidae.
CGCCUUUAGAAUUUAUUUUAGGUUGGUUCUGCUCAAUGAUUAUUUAAAUGGCCGCGGUAAAUUGACUGUGCAAAGGUAGCAUAAUAAGUAGUUUAUUAAUUGUAAACUGGAAUGAAUGAAUUGACGAGAAAUUGACUGUCUCUAUUUUAAAAAAUUGAAUUUGACUUUUAAGUUAAAAGGCUUAAUUGAUUGUAAGGGACGAGAAGACCCUAUAGAACUUUAUUUGAAUUGUUUUUUCUGUUAUUAUUUUAUAAAUUGUGAAUUCAAUUGUUAUUUAGUUGGGGUGAUUUGAAGAUGAGAAUAACUUUUUAUUUUUUAACAUUAAUUUAUGGUUUUUUGAUAUAAUAUAUUAAUAUAAGAUUAAGUUACCUUAGGGAUAACAGCAUAAUUUAUUUGGAGAGUUCGAAUCUAUAAAUGAGUUUGUGACCUCGAUGUUGAAUUAAGAUUAAUUUUGGGUGUAGAAGUUUUUUAAUUGGGUCUGUUCGACCUUUAAAGUCUUACA